UAGGGAAUCUUCGGCAAUGGGGGGAACCCUGACCGAGCAACGCCGCGUGAGUGAAGAAGGUUUUCGGAUCGUAAAGCUCUGUUGUUAAGGAAGAACGAGUGUGAGAAUGGAAAGUUCAUACUGUGACGGUACUUAACCAGAAAGGGACGGCUAACUACGUGCCAGCAGCCGCGGUAAUACGUAGGUCCCGAGCGUUGUCCGGAUUUAUUGGGCGUAAAGCGAGCGCAGGCGGUUAGAUAAGUCUGAAGUUAAAGGCAGUGGCUCAACCAUUGUAGGCUUUGGAAACUGUUUAACUUGAGUGCAGAAGGGGAGAGUGGAAUUCCAUGUGUAGCGGUGAAAUGCGUAGAUAUAUGGUGGAACACCGGUGGCGAAAGCGGCUCUCUGGUCUGUAACUGACGCUGAGGCUCGAAAGCGUGGGGAGCGAACAGG
Molecule: ribosomal RNA, 429 nt
Filed under: Bacteroidota bacterium
Lineage: Bacteria; Pseudomonadati; Bacteroidota
Description: Bacteroidetes bacterium partial 16S ribosomal RNA
Rfam family: Bacterial small subunit ribosomal RNA
Source: RNAcentral